CUAUUACAGAGGGCUGAGGGACAUUUGGGUGGGGGUUGAGUAAGUAUGGAGUGAGUUUAUAGGGGGAAUACCUUGGGAUAGUUUGGAGAGGAUGGAGGUAAAAUGUUUGGAGGGGGGUUGGGCAAAAUGAUUGGGUUUUUUUAGGGGAAAAACUUGGGUUAUGGGAACAGUGAAUGUUGCUGAGGUAAAAUCUGAGGUAAAUUAGAAAUAGGAAUACAGAUGAACCGGGAGGAAGGAAGCUGGAGUACUGUAGAUAGCACAGCUUAGGUUGUGCAAAAAGACUGAGGUAAGUUUAGAGGAAAAAGAGGUGACUUCUGAGGGGAAAGUCAGGUAACUCGGAUGGUGUUUCUUCAUGGAAAAUCUGAGCACCAGUGGAGAAGAAAGAAGAGGCAAGAAAAAGAUAAAGACUGAAAUAAAAUGACUUUCAAACUCUCUUCACUGUACAGUAACUACAACUAUAGCUGUAGACUAGCAGUGUGGUAGCACCUUGAAUGUUUUAUGGUGGAAGAUGAUAUUAGUGCUUUCUAAACUCACACUGCUAUAGUGCAUAACACCAGAAUGUUAUCUGAAAUUGGAGUAUGACAUUGUUGCAUUGCCCCUGGUCGUUUUAUUACAGUAGCUUGGUGGCAGUAGAGGUUUUUGGCUGGCCUGGGGUCAUACUGGCUCAUCGCCGUGAUGCUUAGAGGUGAUGCACUGUGGUGUGAUUGUGCCAGUUUUAUGGUAGGUGAUGUUAAUAUGAAUGUGGCUGUGACACAGUAUGGAUCUCACGGUACAGCACAGCUCCUUUGUAAUUUCUGUAGUAGUUGGUGUUGCUGCAGUGUGUCAUAGUGAUGGUUGUUUGGAAGAAGUGUAUUGACAGCACCUGAUUUUGGAGUUACUUAUUUUAUCCUCAGUUCAAACAUCAGGAGAUCUAUACUAGAAGGUGUGGGUGCAGUGCAGCCAGUAUGGUGCUGAUAGGCUAUUGCUUCAGAGGAGCAAAGCCCUGCUGUCAACACUAAAACGUGCUGCAGUUUGUAAGCAAAGCUGUCGUGGAGUGCAG
Molecule: long non-coding RNA, 1039 nt
Filed under: Gallus gallus (chicken)
Lineage: Eukaryota; Metazoa; Chordata; Aves; Galliformes; Phasianidae
Description: lncRNA (ENSGALG00010019427.1)
Source: RNAcentral